Mauremys reevesii (Reeves's turtle) is the source of this 495-nucleotide long non-coding RNA. RefSeq lists it as uncharacterized. The record is from RefSeq and is a predicted model, not a curated record. Lineage: Eukaryota; Metazoa; Chordata; Testudines; Geoemydidae. The transcript is spliced from 3 exons.
CUCUGGCUAGUGGGGCCUGGCAACCAGACAGAAGUAUGGCAGGCUGACGUCACGUAGCAGGAAAUGCGGAGACAAGAACCUGAGUAUGUUGUCCCUGAGGCAGGGCUGGAGAUACAAGGGCCCAGUAGGAAGAGGCCCAGGGAAAUAGCAACGAUGGAUUGAGAUCAUUGGCUGAAGUGGCAAAACAAAGAUGCACAUGAUUCACUCCCCUCUGACAGAGCACCCAGUGACCUUACACUACAAUCUGUAUGCCUCUGAAAAACUCAAAAGGGCACAAAAGCAGCCCCAUCCCCUGGAAUGAAAAAAAGGAAAACAGCCAGGAGCAAGUAAACUGAAAACUCAAUACGUAAGCUGAAAAAGAUUCUAGAUAAGGAGUUGAAGCAUCCAGAAUGUGUACGCUGAAUAAAGCCACCGAUCUAAAAAUUGAUAGUGACACACCAACAGCAGGAAAGCCUAGCAGACGAAAAUGCUAAACUAAAGUAGGAGACACACUGG